This 253-nucleotide ribosomal RNA is filed under the name uncultured bacterium. Its description in RNAcentral is "partial 16S ribosomal RNA". It matches the Rfam family "Bacterial small subunit ribosomal RNA", at positions 524 to 776 of the family's 1533-position model. The record is from RNAcentral.
UACGGAGGGGGCUAGCGUUGUUCGGAAUUACUGGGCGUAAAGCGCACGUAGGCGGAAUGUUAAGUCAGGGGUGAAAUCCCGGGGCUCAACCCCGGAACUGCCUUUGAUACUGGCAUUCUCGAGUCCGGAAGAGGUGAGUGGAAUUCCGAGUGUAGAGGUGAAAUUCGUAGAUAUUCGCAAGAACACCAGUGGCGAAGGCGGCUCACUGGCCCGGUACUGACGCUGAGGUGCGAAAGCGUGGGGAGCAAACAGG